UUAGAGUUUGAUCCUGGCUCAGGAUGAACGCUAGCGGCAGGCUUAACACAUGCAAGUCGAGGGGCAGCAUGGGAGUAGCAAUACUUCUGAUGGCGACCGGCGCACGGGUGCGUAACGCGUAUGCAACCUACCUGUAACAGGGGGAUAACACUGAGAAAUCGGUACUAAUACCGCAUAACACUAUGAGAGGCAUCUCUUGUGGUUGAAAGUUUCGGCGGUUACAGAUGGGCAUGCGUUGUAUUAGCUGGUUGGUAAGGUAACGGCUUACCAAGGCGACGAUACAUAGGGGGACUGAGAGGUUAACCCCCCACAUUGGUACUGAGACACGGACCAAACUCCUACGGGAGGCAGCAGUGAGGAAUAUUGGUCAAUGGACGAAAGUCUGAACCAGCCAUGCCGCGUGCAGGAAGACGGCUCUAUGAGUUGUAAACUGCUUUUGUACAAGGGUAAACCUGAAUACGUGUAUUCAGCUGAAAGUACUGUACGAAUAAGGAUCGGCUAACUCCGUGCCAGCAGCCGCGGUAAUGCGGAGGAUCCAAGCGUUAUCCGGAUUUAUUGGGUUUAAAGGGUGCGUAGGCGGAUUGAUAAGUUAGAGGUGAAAUGUCCGGGCUCAACUCGGGAACUGCCUCUAAUACUGUUGAUCUAGAGAGUAGAUGCGGUAGGCGGAAUGUAUGGUGUAGCGGUGAAAUGCUUAGAGAUCAUACAGAACACCGAUUGCGAAGGCAGCUUACCAAUCUAUAUCUGACGUUGAGGCACGAAAGCGUGGGGAGCAAACAGGAUUAGAUACCCUGGUAGUCCACGCAGUAAACGAUGAUAGCUCGUUGUCGGCGAUACACAGUCGGUGACUAAGAGAAAUCGAUAAGCUAUCCACCUGGGGAGUACGUUCGCAAGAAUGAAACUCAAAGGAAUUGACGGGGGCCCGCACAAGCGGAGGAACAUGUGGUUUAAUUCGAUGAUACGCGAGGAACCUUACCCGGGCUUGAAAGUUAGCGACUGAUCUGGAAACAGGUCUUCCCUUCGGGGCACGAAACUAGGUGCUGCAUGGUUGUCGUCAGCUCGUGCCGUGAGGUGUCGGGUUAAGUCCCAUAACGAGCGCAACCCCUACUGAUAGUUGCCAUCAGGUCAAGCUGGGCACUCUAUCGGGACUGCCGGUGUAAGCCGGAGGAGGGUGGGGAUGACGUCAAAUCAGCACGGCCCUUACGUCCGGGGCGACACACGUGUUACAAUGGUAGGUACAGAGGGCAGCUACCCAGCGAUGGGGUGCAAAUCUCGAAAGCCUAUCUCAGUUCGGAUUGGAGGCUGAAACUCGCCUCCAUGAAGUUGGAUUCGCUAGUAAUCGCGCAUCAGCCAUAGCGCGGUGAAUACGUUCCCGGGCCUUGUACACACCGCCCGUCA
This 1395-nucleotide ribosomal RNA is filed under the name uncultured bacterium. RNAcentral describes it as "16S ribosomal RNA". It matches the Rfam family "Bacterial small subunit ribosomal RNA". The record is from RNAcentral.